GGCUGCCUACGGGGCGCAGCAGUGGGGAAUAUUGCACAAUGGGGGAAACCCUGAUGCAGCAACGCCGCGUGAGUGAUGACGGCCUUCGGGUUGUAAAGCUCUGUCUUCAGGGACGAUAAUGACGGUACCUGAGGAGGAAGCCACGGCUAACUACGUGCCAGCAGCCGCGGGAAUACGUAGGUGGCGAGCGUUGUCCGGAUUUACUGGGCGUAAAGGGCGCGUAGGCGGACUUUUAAGUGAGAUGUGAAAUACUCGGGCUCAACUUGAGUGCUG
This 273-nucleotide ribosomal RNA is filed under the name uncultured bacterium. Its description in RNAcentral is "partial 16S ribosomal RNA". It matches the Rfam family "Bacterial small subunit ribosomal RNA", at positions 333 to 623 of the family's 1533-position model. The record is from RNAcentral.